UAUAUCUUGAUGUAUGAAGCAUAAAAGUUUUUGAGAUUUUAGGUGAUAAAAAUAUUAUCAGAUAUAA
RNAcentral lists this transfer RNA (67 nucleotides) under Vespula flaviceps. Its description in RNAcentral is "tRNA-Gln". Lineage: Eukaryota; Metazoa; Arthropoda; Insecta; Hymenoptera; Vespidae. The record is from RNAcentral.